AUUGAACGCUGGCGGCAGGCCUAACACAUGCAAGUCGAGCGGAUGAAGGGAGCUUGCUCCUGGAUUCAGCGGCGGACGGGUGAGUAAUGCCUAGGAAUCUGCCUGGUAGUGGGGGAUAACGUCCGGAAACGGGCGCUAAUACCGCAUACGUCCUGAGGGAGAAAGUGGGGGAUCUUCGGACCUCACGCUAUCAGAUGAGCCUAGGUCGGAUUAGCUAGUUGGUGGGGUAAAGGCCUACCAAGGCGACGAUCCGUAACUGGUCUGAGAGGUUGAUCAGUCAAACGGGAACGGAGAACGGGGCCAGAUCCCCAGGGGGGGAAGAGGGGGGGAAUUUUGGACAAUGGGCGAAAGCCUGAUCCAGCCAUGCGGGGGGGGGGAAGAAGGUCUGCGGUUUGGAAAGCCCUUUAAGUUGGGAGAAAGGGCAGUAAGUUAAUACCUUGCUUUUUUGACGUAACCAAUAGAAAAAGCACCGGUAAAUUUGGU
Molecule: ribosomal RNA, 483 nt
Filed under: uncultured bacterium
Lineage: Bacteria
Description: partial 16S ribosomal RNA
Rfam family: Bacterial small subunit ribosomal RNA
Source: RNAcentral